Leptinotarsa decemlineata (Colorado potato beetle) is the source of this 193-nucleotide long non-coding RNA. The record is from RefSeq and is a predicted model, not a curated record. Lineage: Eukaryota; Metazoa; Arthropoda; Insecta; Coleoptera; Chrysomelidae.
GCAGUAGUUUUACUAGUGGAAAACGUAAAAAUAAACUCAGUUAUGAUCGAUAUUAUAGAUGAGAGGUUAUGAAAACUGUACAUAAUUUGACAUAUUUCGUAGAUCAGGAUUCACAUGUCAGUGAGUACUAUAUAAAAAAUAAAACAUUUUUUCAACCCCUCUUUUUGUAUAUCACCCAAUAAAGUUUAUGCGA